Molecule: ribosomal RNA, 253 nt
Filed under: uncultured bacterium
Lineage: Bacteria
Description: partial 16S ribosomal RNA
Rfam family: Bacterial small subunit ribosomal RNA
Source: RNAcentral
GACGGAAGGUGCAAGCGUUGCUCGGAAUCACUGGGCGUAAAGGGUGCGUAGGCGGCCGUGCAAGUCUGGCGUGAAAGCCCCGGGCUCAGCCCGGGAAGUGCGCUCGAAACUGCGCGGCUCGAGUGCCGGAGGGGAGAGUGGAAUUCCUGGUGUAGCGGUGAAAUGCGUAGAUAUCAGGAAGAACACCCGUGGCGAAGGCGGCUUUCUGGGACGGUACUGACGCUGAGACGCGAAAGCGUGGGGAGCGAACAGG